Molecule: ribosomal RNA, 163 nt
Filed under: Petrocallis pyrenaica
Lineage: Eukaryota; Viridiplantae; Streptophyta; Magnoliopsida; Brassicales; Brassicaceae
Description: 5.8S ribosomal RNA
Rfam family: 5.8S ribosomal RNA
About the family: 5.8S ribosomal RNA (5.8S rRNA) is a component of the large subunit of the eukaryotic ribosome.
Source: RNAcentral
AACGAAACUCGACAACGAAUAUAUUAGCUCUCGCAUCGAUGAAGAACGUAGCGAAAUGCGAUACUUGGUGUGAAUUGCAGAAUCCCGUGAACCAUCGAGUCUUUGAACGCAAGUUGCGCCCCAAGCCUUCUGGCCGAGGGCACGUCUGCCUGGGUGUCACAAA